This 107-nucleotide small nuclear RNA is filed under the name Mus spicilegus (steppe mouse). The record is from RNAcentral. Lineage: Eukaryota; Metazoa; Chordata; Mammalia; Rodentia; Muridae.
GUGCUCGCUUUGGCAGCACGUAUACUAAAAUUGUAAUGAUACAGAGAAGUUUAGCAUGCCCCCUGUGCAAGGAUGACAUGCAAAUUCAUGAAGCUUUCCAUAUUUUU